GACGAACGCUGGCGGCGUGCUUAACACAUGCAAGUCGAGCGGUAAGGCCCUGCUUUUGCACCAUUCUGGAGAGCAGCGAGCGGGUGAGUAACGCGUGGGGAAUCUGCUUUUGUGCGGGGGACAAUAUGGGGAAACGAAUGCAAAUACCGCAUAACAACUUUAAACAUAGGGGUGAAGGUUGAAAUAUGCAAUUGCAGCACGCAAAGAUGAUCUCGCGUUGUAUUAGCUAGGUGGUGAGGUAAAGGCGCAUCAAGGCGAUGAAACAUAGCCGACCGGAGAGGGUGGUCGGCCGCAUUGGGACGGAGACCCGGCCCAAACGCCUACGGGAGGCAGCAGUAGGGAAUCUUGGGGCAUGGGCGAAAGACUGACCACGAGGCGCCGCGGGAGUGAGCAACGUUUCCGGGUGGUAGAACUCGGUUGGUAGGGAAGAACGUUGGUGCGAGUGGGAAGCUCAUCGAGUGACGGUAAUUAGCAAAGAAGCAACGGCUAACUACGUG
This 497-nucleotide ribosomal RNA is filed under the name uncultured bacterium. Its description in RNAcentral is "partial 16S ribosomal RNA". It matches the Rfam family "Bacterial small subunit ribosomal RNA", at positions 28 to 507 of the family's 1533-position model. The record is from RNAcentral.